UACGAGGGGUGCAAGCGUUACUCGGAAUUACUGGGCGUAAAGCGUGCGUAGGUGGUUUGUUAAGUCUGUUGUGAAAGCCCCGGGCUCAACCUGGGAAUGGCAAUGGAUACUGGCAAGCUAGAGUGCGGUAGAGGGUAGUGGAAUUCCGGUGUAGCGGUGAAAUGCGUAGAGAUCGGGAGGAACACCAGUGGCGAAGGCGGCUACCUGGACCAGCACUGACACUGAGGCACGAAAGCGUGGGGAGCAAACAGGG
This 253-nucleotide ribosomal RNA is filed under the name uncultured bacterium. RNAcentral's name for it is "partial 16S ribosomal RNA". It matches the Rfam family "Bacterial small subunit ribosomal RNA", at positions 524 to 777 of the family's 1533-position model. The record is from RNAcentral.